Molecule: ribosomal RNA, 253 nt
Filed under: uncultured bacterium
Lineage: Bacteria
Description: partial 16S ribosomal RNA
Rfam family: Bacterial small subunit ribosomal RNA
Source: RNAcentral
GACGUAGGGCGCGAGCGUUGUCCGGAUUUACUGGGCGUAAAGCGCGUGUAGGCGGCCCUGCAAGUCGGGUGUGAAAUCCCAUGGCUCAACCAUGGAAGUGCACUCGAAACUGCAGGGCUAGAGUCCUGGAGAGGAAGGUGGAAUGCUUGGUGUAGAGGUGAAAUUCGUAGAUAUCAAGCGGAACACCGGUGGCGAAGGCGGGUCUCUGGGCCGAUACUGACGCUGAGGAGCGAAAGCGUGGGGAGCGAACAGG